RNAcentral lists this long non-coding RNA (580 nucleotides) under Sinocyclocheilus grahami. Its description in RNAcentral is "lncRNA (ENSSGRG00000048344.1)". The record is from RNAcentral. Lineage: Eukaryota; Metazoa; Chordata; Actinopteri; Cypriniformes; Cyprinidae.
GAUGAUUGGGAGGUGACUGAGUCUGGCCGAUCUGUGACACUAUGCAUUCAAAAUGUUAAUUAUGGAAUGAAGAAACAAACUACAAGUCCCCCAAGUCAUGCUAAAACGGAAAAUGUUGAUAUAAUUCGCUCCAUGUUGCAUUAACCUACAACAGAGAACUUUACAGUAAGAGUGAUGAGACAACAAAUUUCUCCAACAGAUGAGCAACAGUGAUCAUGCCAAACAAAUUACAAACAGUUUCCUGUUUCUUCCAGCUUGUGUCAGUCGAAAGGCUCUUGAGGAUAAUCAAAGACAAGGGAGAGACCAUCAGAGCUCACUGUACAGCAAUCAAAGUGCAUAUAAAGACAGAUUCACGCACAGGCCAACAUGAAAUUUGGCCUGGGCCCAUGCAGACCAGCAGAGGACACAAACAGCAGGUGCUACACACAGUUUGAAAUGUGGUAUGAAACUAAAUUUUAUUUAUCAUGAUAUGCUUUAAUCAACAGAUGGAAGAAAAACAGCAAUCGGUAAAUGGAAAACAAAAUCAACAAAUGGGAAAGGGAAAAAUCAUGUUGUGUGUGAUUAAAGCAAAAUAAAAUAA